This 83-nucleotide transfer RNA is filed under the name Gadus morhua (Atlantic cod). Its description in RNAcentral is "tRNA-Leu (CAG) (tRNA-Leu-CAG-7-1)". It matches the Rfam family "tRNA". From Rfam's summary of the family: Transfer RNA (tRNA) molecules are approximately 80 nucleotides in length. Their secondary structure includes four short double-helical elements and three loops (D, anti-codon, and T loops). Lineage: Eukaryota; Metazoa; Chordata; Actinopteri; Gadiformes; Gadidae. The record is from Rfam by way of RNAcentral.
GUCAGGAUGGCCGAGCGGUCUAAGGCGCUGCGUUCAGGUCGCAGUCUCCUCUGGAGGCGUGGUUUCGAAUCCCACUUCUGACA